AUCCAGCUGACAAAUCUCAAAUAGGACGAAACACACGUCAAAUUGGAU
Non-coding RNA from Schistosoma curassoni, 48 nucleotides. The record is from Rfam. NCBI's taxonomy places the organism in Eukaryota, Metazoa, Platyhelminthes, Trematoda, Strigeidida, Schistosomatidae.